UACAGAGGGUGCGAGCGUUACUCGGAAUUACUGGGCGUAAAGCGCGCGUAGGCGGCUUUGCAAGUCGGUUGUGAAAUCCCCAGGCUUAACCUGGGAACUGCAUCCGAGACUGCAUUGCUAGAGUAUGGGAGAGGGAAGUGGAAUUUCCGGUGUAGCGGUGAAAUGCGUAGAUAUCGGAAGGAACAUCAGUGGCGAAAGCGACUUCCUGGACCAAUACUGACGCUCAUGUGCGAAAGCGUGGGGAGCAAGCAGG
Molecule: unclassified non-coding RNA, 253 nt
Filed under: uncultured Gammaproteobacteria bacterium
Lineage: Bacteria; Pseudomonadati; Pseudomonadota; Gammaproteobacteria
Description: contains 16S-23S intergenic spacer region
Rfam family: Bacterial small subunit ribosomal RNA
Source: RNAcentral